Long non-coding RNA from Poecile atricapillus (Black-capped chickadee), 322 nucleotides. RefSeq lists it as uncharacterized. NCBI's taxonomy places the organism in Eukaryota, Metazoa, Chordata, Aves, Passeriformes, Paridae. The transcript has 3 exons. The record is from RefSeq and is a predicted model, not a curated record.
GGGGCCUGGCCGGGAGCGGACCCUGCCCCGCCGCCCUCGCGCUUGGGCCGCGCUGCAGCCGCUUCGGGUUUGGGGUAAACCCGCUCUCCCCGCGGUGUCCCCCAGCCCGCGCCGUUCCUCUCGGCUCCGGCUGCGCCUCAUCCCAUCCUGUGGCUGUGCUUAUGUCAUGACAGUGCCUGGCCCCUGGUGAUUUAUUCCAGUCUUGGCACCGAGUCCAAAGUGCUGGAACCCAUCCCCCAAAUUCUGGGACCAGCUGCCUGGGAAGGCCUGUUCCUGGAGAAGCCAGGCUGUUACCCAGGGACAUUGCUGCUGUACAGGGGCA